CCCUUAGAUGUUCUGGGCCGCACGCGCGCUACACUGACGAAGUCAGCGAGCAUGUCCUACGCCGACAGGUGCGGGGAAUCUUGUCAAACUUCGUCGUGAUGGGGAUUGAUUAUUGAAAUUCUUGAUCAUCAACGAGGAAUUCCUAGUAAGCGCAAGUCAGCAGCUUGCGUUGAUUACGUCCCUGCCCUUUGUACACACCGCCCGUCGCUACUACCGAUUGAAUGGUUUAGUGAGAUCUUCGGAUUGGCGCCACUGCGGCUCAGCAAUGGGCUCGGUUGAUGCCGAAAAGUUGAUCAAACUUGAUCAUUUAGAGGAAGUAAAAGUCGUAACA
Molecule: ribosomal RNA, 331 nt
Filed under: uncultured eukaryote
Lineage: Eukaryota
Description: partial 18S ribosomal RNA
Rfam family: Eukaryotic small subunit ribosomal RNA
Source: RNAcentral